RNAcentral lists this small RNA (603 nucleotides) under Malus domestica (apple). Its description in RNAcentral is "sRNA MD09G0137800". Lineage: Eukaryota; Viridiplantae; Streptophyta; Magnoliopsida; Rosales; Rosaceae. The record is from RNAcentral.
AUGUUGUUUCUUGGACAAUUUACCUGUACGCUUAUGAUGAAAGAUAGAAAGGACUCCUUCAACAUGGAACAUAGAGAUGUGAUUAGAGUUCCUGCUGGGCUUCUAUUUACUUAAUUAACAAUAACAAUGAUGAACCUCUUCACAUUGCAAAGCUCAUCCGUUCUGUUAACAGUUCUGGACGAUUUGAGGAAUUCUGCCCUGCUGGUUUUGGAAAUCCCAAGUCAUACUUCAACAUUUCAGCGAUGACAUUAUUGAAUCUGCCUUCAAUACCCCAAGAAAAGAGCCAAAGCAGGACUUUAGACAACAAAGGGGCAAACAAAGGGGUCAAGGCAUAGUCAUGAGCUCCCCAAAAGAGCAACUUGAGGCACUAUUUGGCUAAUCACCUAGGAUUGGUACCUGUAACCACUGCACAUGUACAGUUUCUUUUUAUAUUACCUUGAAUUGAUGACAAAUAGUGCUUUUUUUCUCUGCCACGAUUCUUUUUGGUUCCAUGACUUCCAACAUCUACAAUGCCAUCUCUAUCAUAAUUAAUUCAUUUACGCUUGCCUUCUAUAAAAUGGAAUCCACGCUAUGAAAAUUGCCUUCACUAUAAGAGUGUAAAUU